UACAGAGGUCCCAAGCGUUGUUCGGAUUCACUGGGCGUAAAGGGUGCGUAGGUGGUGGGGUAAGUCGGAUGUGAAAGCUCGGAGCUCAACUCCGAAAUGGCAUUGGAAACUACCCUGCUAGAGGAUUGGAGGGGGGACUGGAAUACUUGGUGUAGCAGUGAAAUGCGUAGAUAUCAAGUGGAACACCAGUGGCGAAGGCGACUACCUGGACAAUUGCUGACGCUCAGGCACGAAAGCGUGGGGAGCAAAAGGG
This 253-nucleotide ribosomal RNA is filed under the name uncultured bacterium. Its description in RNAcentral is "partial 16S ribosomal RNA". It matches the Rfam family "Bacterial small subunit ribosomal RNA", at positions 524 to 776 of the family's 1533-position model. The record is from RNAcentral.